Molecule: microRNA precursor, 101 nt
Filed under: Malus domestica (apple)
Lineage: Eukaryota; Viridiplantae; Streptophyta; Magnoliopsida; Rosales; Rosaceae
Description: miR397a stem-loop (mdm-MIR397a)
Gene: mdm-MIR397a
Source: miRBase by way of RNAcentral
AGAAACAUCAUUGAGUGCAGCGUUGAUGAAAGUCCGUAUUCCUUWCGAAUCUUCAUUAGGCAUCGGAAACUUUCGUCAGCUGUGCACCCAAUUAUGUUUCU